Molecule: long non-coding RNA, 1029 nt
Filed under: Daucus carota (carrot)
Lineage: Eukaryota; Viridiplantae; Streptophyta; Magnoliopsida; Apiales; Apiaceae
Description: long non-coding RNA (DCAR_LNC004518)
Source: RNAcentral
UACAGAGAGAUAAAACAAUAUGGAUCCGGGUCCCUGACAAUCGAAUGUCCGGACAUAAACAUACCAUCAAUGAGAAAAAACAGCUAAUGGCUUAACCCUAGAUUUUUUGUGCAUAUGUUGGGGGCACUACAUUGUCAUCUAGAGGAAAGGUUUUCCUCGUCCAGCGCCUUUUUUUCUGCUGAUUGUUCUAGACAAACACCCAAAUAAUAUAUGCAAACUAUACUUGCUCAAGAAUUCUUUUUUCGUAUCCUUUUUGGCCAAUUCAACAUAAACCACCACCACAUUCCACACCUCUGUUUCCAGGAACAAAAGUUUAAAGCGCCUUGAGAAAACAGAAGGCUAAAGACAUGGAAUAAAAUAAUACUCCCUCUUGGUCGUCCUUUGAUUUUUUGCAUGUAAUUUUAGAAGUUUUGAAAACAUAUUUAAAAUUAGUAUUUUUAAAAUUUUAUUUUUCUGAAUAAAACUAACAUUCAGAAAAAUAAAAUCACCAAAAUUUUAUUUUUGCUAUAUGAUCAAAACACCUAAGGUUACGUAUAAAUAGGACCACAGAUCAGUUGAAAAGGAAACAUAAUCAUCUCCUGCUUAUAAAAUUUGUCUACGUUGAUUAUAUUUUCGACUAUAAAUAUUCAAGAACUUGAAGCAAAAAUUGUAAAUGAAAGAUACAAAUUGUCUUAAUAUUUAGGUUAAGCAUUUACUGCCUUUCCCAUUCAACUGUAAAGAGUAAACCAGCUCUCAUUAAAACCAACAACAAUCUAAAAGAAAACUAGACAAUGAAAAAAACCCAGCAUUAGCCAAAGGCCUUUCGCCCUUGCAGCACACUUACCAUUAUUACCAAGANUAGUACACANGAAUGUCCGGACAUAAACAUACCAUCAAUGAGAAAAAACAGCUAAUGGCUUAACCCUAGAUUUUUUGUGCAUAUGUUGGGGGCACUACAUUGUCAUCUAGAGGAAAGGUUUUCCUCGUCCAGCGCCUUUUUUUCUGCUGAUUGUUCUAGACAAACACCCAAAUAAUAUAUGCAAACUAUAC